CCGGGGAGGGUGAGCCAAGAGGGACGUGGCGCUCUGCGGCGCGGGCUGAGAAGCCGCGCCCCUUCCUUCUCUGGCUUUCUUGGAGAGUCCUGUGGAGCAGGAUUUGGGUGGGUGAGGUGCUUACCCGGGACGCGGACAAAAACCCAGGAUCCCACAGGACAUCACCUGGCCAAGUUCUUCAUUGUGUUCAGAAUGGGGGAGAGGGAGGCAGGAGUACUUACAAGAGACAGGACUUCCCUGGUGGUCCAGUGGUAAAGAAUCCACCUCGCAAUGUGGGGGACGCAGGUUUGACCCCUGGUCGGGGAACUAAGAUCCCACGUGCUGCAGGGCAACUAAGCCUGCGCGUGGCAACCACUAAGCUCACGCACCUCAACUGCGUGCCACAAACUACAGAGCCCACGCACCCUGGAGCCUGCGCCACAACUAAGGAAGAGAAAACCUGCAUGCCACAACUAGAGAGAAGUCCAUGCGCCACAACGAAGAGCCCGCACUGCAAUGAAAGAUCCCACGUGCCUCAACGAAGAUCCCACAUGCCGCAACUAAGACCCGACACAGCCAAAAAAGAUAAAGAAAAUAAAUAAAAUAAAUAUUUAAAAAAAUAGCAAUAAAAAUAAAAUCAUCUCAAAUAUUAUUUUGUUUUUUCAACACAAAAGAUAAAAUCAAA
Long non-coding RNA from Balaenoptera ricei (Rice's whale), 664 nucleotides. RefSeq lists it as uncharacterized. The record is from RefSeq and is a predicted model, not a curated record. NCBI's taxonomy places the organism in Eukaryota, Metazoa, Chordata, Mammalia, Artiodactyla, Balaenopteridae. The transcript has 3 exons.